CAACGAUUUGAAUUGCAUAACAACACACAUGUUAUUAUACAUUUCAGAGAAGAUGACAUCAAAGAAGCACAGUGAGGGCAGAAGAUGAUGAGGUUUGACAGACAACUGCUAAGUCUGCGGCAAUGGAUAGCUGGAAAAGAUGUCCCACGACUGCAUGAUCUCAGAUGUGGAAGAAGAAAAGAAAUACUUCCCUGAUGCUCCGCAUUGCGAUGUUUGAUUAAUGUCAUUAUCCAUGAAGAUUUUCAGCUGAAGUUAUUGUUUUUGUUUCACUUGGCAUCUACAUUUGGGAAAGAGCCAAGGGAGGAAGUGACAAAUCCAUCAGCUUAAGAUGGGAAACCCUGUGGUUUCAGAGCUGCUCAUAUCUCAUUAGGAGCUGCUUUUCCCCUUGGCUCACAUCCUUUCUUGGGAUAGUUUCUCCCCUCACAUCAUUAAAAUAUACCAUCAGAAUGUUUACUCAUCAAAAACUGACUGGAAUAAGCCUAAUCUUGCCCACUAUGUAUACACCACCUUGUUUGCAGAGCACAAAAACCAGCAGUCCUUAAUGGGAUAUGGAGACUUGAGCAUAUGUUAAACAUAACC
This is a long non-coding RNA of Gallus gallus (chicken), 579 nucleotides long. Lineage: Eukaryota; Metazoa; Chordata; Aves; Galliformes; Phasianidae. The record is from Ensembl.